Molecule: ribosomal RNA, 551 nt
Filed under: uncultured bacterium
Lineage: Bacteria
Description: bacterial SSU rRNA
Rfam family: Bacterial small subunit ribosomal RNA
Source: RNAcentral
GAUUGGUAAUGGGCGCAGCCUGANCCAGCCGUGCCGCGUGCAGGAUGACGGUCCUAUGGAUUGUAAACUGCUUUUGUACGAGAAGAAACACUCCUACGUGUAGGAGCUUGACGGUAUCGUAAGAAUAAGGAUCGGCUAACUCCGUGCCAGCAGCCGCGGUAAUACGGAGGAUCCAAGCGUUAUCCGGAAUCAUUGGGUUUAAAGGGUCCGUAGGCGGUUUUGUAAGUCAGUGGUGAAAGCCCAUCGCUCAACGGUGGAACGGCCAUUGAUACUGCAAGACUUGAAUUACUAGGAAGUAACUAGAAUAUGUAGUGUAGCGGUGAAAUGCUUAGAUAUUACAUGGAAUACCAAUUGCGAAGGCAGGUUACUACUAGUGGAUUGACGCUGAUGGACGAAAGCGUGGGGAGCGAACAGGAUUAGAUACCCUGGUAGUCCACGCCGUAAACGAUGGAUACUAGCUGUUCGGAGCAAUCUGAGUGGCUAAGCGAAAGUGAUAAGUAUCCCACCUGGGGAGUACGUUCGCAAGAAUGAAACUCAAAAGAAUUGACGGA